GUUGAUUAUGGCUCAGGAUGAACGCUAGCGGCAGGCUAACACAUGCAAGUCGAGGGGCAGCGCGGAGUAGCAAUACUCUGGCGGCGACCGGCGAAAGGGUGAGUAACGCGUGAGCAACAUGCCCGAUAGUGGAGGAUAGUCGAUGGAAACGUCGUGUAAUACUCCGUAACAUACGGGACCGCAUGAUUCUGUAUUAAUAGAUUUAUUGCUAUCGGAUUGGCUCGCGUACCAUUAGCUGGUUGGCGGGGUAACGGCCCACCAAGGCGACGAUGGUUAGGGGUUCUGAGAGGAAGGUCCCCCACAUUGGAACUGAGACACGGUCCAGACUCCUACGGGAGGCAGCAGUGAGGAAUAUUGGACAAUGGCCGGAAGGCUGAUCCAGCCAUGCCGCGUGCCGGGAAGACGGCCCUAUGGGUUGUAAACCGCUUUUGUUGGGGAGCAAUAAGGAGCACGUGUGCUUCGAUGAGAGUACCCAGCGAAUAAGCAUCGGCUAACUCCGUGCCAGCAGCGGC
RNAcentral lists this ribosomal RNA (512 nucleotides) under uncultured bacterium. RNAcentral describes it as "bacterial SSU rRNA". It matches the Rfam family "Bacterial small subunit ribosomal RNA", at positions 11 to 518 of the family's 1533-position model. The record is from RNAcentral.